This 492-nucleotide ribosomal RNA is filed under the name uncultured bacterium. Its description in RNAcentral is "partial 16S ribosomal RNA". It matches the Rfam family "Bacterial small subunit ribosomal RNA", at positions 29 to 507 of the family's 1533-position model. The record is from RNAcentral.
AGUGAACGCUGGCGGUAGGCCUAACACAUGCAAGUCGAACGGCAGCACAGUAAGAGCUUGCUCUUACGGGUGGCGAGUGGCGGACGGGUGAGGAAUACAUCGGAAUCUACUUUUUCGUGGGGGAUAACGUAGGGAAACUUACGCUAAUACCGCAUACGACCUACGGGUGAAAGCAGGGGAUCUUCGGACCUUGCGCGAUUGAAUGAGCCGAUGUCGGAUUAGCUAGUUGGCGGGGUAAAGGCCCACCAAGGCGACGAUCCGUAGCUGGUCUGAGAGGAUGAUCAGCGACACUGGAACUGAGACACGGUCCAGACUACUACGGGAGGCAGCAGUGGGGAAUAUUGGACAAUGGGCGCAAGCCUGAUCCAGCCAUACCGCGUGGGUGAAGAAGGCCUUCGGGUUGUAAAGCCCUUUUGUUGGGAAAGAAAAGCAGCAGGUUAAUACCCCGCUGUUCUGACGGUACCUAAAGAAUAAGCACCGGCUAACUUCGUG